RNAcentral lists this ribosomal RNA (377 nucleotides) under uncultured bacterium. RNAcentral's name for it is "bacterial SSU rRNA". It matches the Rfam family "Bacterial small subunit ribosomal RNA", at positions 521 to 896 of the family's 1533-position model. The record is from RNAcentral.
UAAUACAGAGGGUGCAAGCGUUAAUCGGAAUUACUGGGCGUAAAGGGCGCGUAGGUGGUUGACUAAGUCAGAUGUGAAAUCCCUGGGCUUAACCUAGGAAUUGCGUUUGAUACUGGUCGGCUAGAGUGUGGGAGAGGGAAGUGGAAUUUCAAGUGUAGCGGUGAAAUGCGUAGAUAUUUGAAGGAACACCAGUGGCGAAGGCGACUUCCUGGACCACUACUGACACUGAGGCGCGAAAGCGUGGGGAGCGAACAGGAUUAGAUACCCUGGUAGUCCACGCCGUAAACGAUGAGAACUAGAUGUUAGGGAGCUUAGACUCUUUAGUAUCGCAGCUAACGCGAUAAGUUCUCCGCCUGGGGAGUACGGCCGCAAGGUUA